GCUGCUGCUUGCACCUGCUGCUGGCGCCCGGCGCUGGCCCCGAUCACUUGGUGCCAUCAGCGGGUGCAAGUGGCAGCUG
Molecule: microRNA precursor, 79 nt
Filed under: Myotis lucifugus (little brown bat)
Lineage: Eukaryota; Metazoa; Chordata; Mammalia; Chiroptera; Vespertilionidae
Description: mir-9198 microRNA precursor family
Rfam family: mir-9198 microRNA precursor family
Source: Rfam by way of RNAcentral